UAGGUGGCAAGCGUUGUCCGGAUUUACUGGGCGUAAAGAGCGCGCAGGCGGUCGUUUAAGUCGAAUGUGAAAGCCCCCGGCUCAACUGGGGAGGGUCAUUCGAUACUGAUCGACUUGAAGGCAGGAGAGGGAAGUGGAAUUCCGGGUGUAGUGGUGAAAUGCGUAGAUAUCCGGAGGAACACCAGUGGCGAAGGCGACUGUCUGGUCUGUAACUGACACUGAGGCGCGAAAGCGUGGGGAGCAAACAGG
RNAcentral lists this ribosomal RNA (249 nucleotides) under uncultured bacterium. RNAcentral's name for it is "partial 16S ribosomal RNA". It matches the Rfam family "Bacterial small subunit ribosomal RNA", at positions 528 to 776 of the family's 1533-position model. The record is from RNAcentral.